Molecule: ribosomal RNA, 1404 nt
Filed under: uncultured bacterium
Lineage: Bacteria
Description: partial 16S ribosomal RNA
Rfam family: Bacterial small subunit ribosomal RNA
Source: RNAcentral
AGAGUUUGAUCCUGGCUCAGGAUGAACGCUAGCGGCAGGCUUAACACAUGCAAGUCGAGGGGCAGCGGGGAGGAAGCUUGCUUUCUCCGCCGGCGACCGGCGCACGGGUGAGUAACACGUAUGCAACCUGCCCCUGUCAGGGGGACAACCCGCCGAAAGGCGGGCUAAACCCGCGUACAUGCCACCGGGGCAUCCCGGAGGCAGGAAAGGCUUCGGCCGGACAGGGAUGGGCAUGCGGCGCAUUAGGCAGUAGGCGGGGUAACGGCCCACCUAACCGACGAUGCGUAGGGGUUCUGAGAGGAAGGUCCCCCACACUGGUACUGAGACACGGACCAGACUCCUACGGGAGGCAGCAGUGAGGAAUAUUGGUCAAUGGUCGGGAGACUGAACCAGCCAAGCCGCGUGAGGGAGGAAGGUACAGAGUAUCGUAAACCUCUUUUGUCAGGGAACAAAGGCGGGGACGUGUCCCCGGAUGAGUGUACCUGAAGAAAAAGCAUCGGCUAACUCCGUGCCAGCAGCCGCGGUAAUACGGAGGAUGCGAGCGUUAUCCGGAUUUAUUGGGUUUAAAGGGUGCGCAGGCGGUCUGUUAAGUCAGCGGUCAAAGCCCGGGGCUCAACCCCGGCCCGCCGUUGAAACUGGCAGUCUCGAGUUGGAGAGAAGUAUGCGGAAUGCGCGGUGUAGCGGUGAAAUGCAUAGAUAUCGCGCAGAACUCCGAUUGCGAAGGCAGCAUGCCGGCUCCACACUGACGCUGAGGCACGAAAGCGUGGGUAUCGAACAGGAUUAGAUACCCUGGUAGUCCACGCAGUAAACGAUGAAUGCUGGCUGUCCGGGGGGAUUGACCCCUGGGUGGCGAAGCGAAAGCGAUAAGCAUUCCACCUGGGGAGUACGCCGGCAACGGUGAAACUCAACGGAAUUGACGGGGGCCCGCACAAGCGGAGGAACAUGUGGUUUAAUUCGAUGAUACGCGAGGAACCUUACCCGGGCUCAAACGGGGAGUGACUCAGGCAGAGACGCCUGUUUCCCACGGGACACUCCCCGAGGUGCUGCAUGGUUGUCGUCAGCUCGUGCCGUGAGGUGUCGGCUUAAGUGCCAUAACGAGCGCAACCCCCGCGUGCAGUUGCUAACAGAUAACGCUGAGGACUCUGCACGGACUGCCGGCGCAAGCCGCGAGGAAGGCGGGGAUGACGUCAAAUCAGCACGGCCCUUACGUCCGGGGCGACACACGUGUUACAAUGGGUGGUACAGCGGGAAGCCAGGCGGCGACGCCGAGCGGAACCCGAAAUCCACUCUCAGUUCGGAUCGGAGUCUGCAACCCGACUCCGUGAAGCUGGAUUCGCUAGUAAUCGCGCAUCAGCCAUGGCGCGGUGAAUACGUUCCCGGGCCUUGCACACACCGCCCGUCAAG